AGAGUUGAUCAUGGCUCAGGAUGAACGCUGGCGGCGUGCCUAACACAUGCAAGUCGAGCGGAGAUAUGAGAGAUUCUUUAGAUGAUCUUCUUAUCUUAGCGGCGGAUGGGUGAGUAACACGUGGGUAACCUGCCCUGCACAGGGGGAUAACAGCUGGAAACGGCUGUUAAUACCGCAUAUGCACACGCUGCCGCAUGGCAGGGGGUGGAAAGAUUUAUCGGUGCAGGAUGGGCCCGCGUCGGAUUAACUAGUUGGCAGGGUAACGGCCUACCAAGGUGAUGAUCCGUAGCCGACCUGAGAGGGUGACCGGCCACAUUGGGACUGAGACACGGCCCAAACUCCUACGGGAGGCAGCAGGUGGGGGAUAUUGCACAAUGGGCGCAAGCCCUGAUGCAGCGACGCCGCGUGAAGGAAGAAGUUAUUUCGGUAUAGUAAACUUCUAUCAGCGGGAAGAAGAUGACGGUACCCGACUAAGAACGCCCCGGCUAACUACGUGCCAGCCGCCGC
RNAcentral lists this ribosomal RNA (507 nucleotides) under uncultured bacterium. RNAcentral describes it as "bacterial SSU rRNA". It matches the Rfam family "Bacterial small subunit ribosomal RNA", at positions 8 to 518 of the family's 1533-position model. The record is from RNAcentral.